UUUUUUCUCGGCAAAGUUUAGAGCGUAAAACACGGCAAUAUAAAAAGUUGUGAGUUUCUGUUUUACGAAGCUACGCGCGUCACAGAGGCGAGGAGCGUUCGGUGUUCGACGCUUGAUUUUAUGAGUUUUCGCAAGGUUAUCGGUAAAAACGUGCCCUCUGCCAGAUAGAUAACGAAAAUAACGCGCUUUGAAACAAUGCAAUUUAACCACGCACCUGAUACGCUAUCGGCCUGCAAAAGGAGCAUGAUAACUCAAUGCGAAGGUUGAAGAUAACGUUGCUGGCUGACAACAAAAUAUAAAUGCUCUUUCGAAAUUCAGUCUUGGUUAACGCGAUGAGCGAACAGCACGUUCUACGUAUCGGUGAACACCUACGGACUUCCUUCUGCAAAAUAGCUAUGAUGCCAUUGCUUCGAAUUCUCUUUUACGCUCUCGGUCUUGAAUCCAAGAGAACCGAGCAAACGGCGAAACUGGACCUUGAGGCCCCGACGACGUGGACACUGAGCUGUACUCUGUGUAGUUCUUGUGCUAUAACAUUUUAAGUUAACGCGAAACAGCCAAACGUGGGUCCGGGAGGUGAGGAUCGAGGAUAUCGGAGUAUCGAGCGGUGAAACGUUGAAGCAUUAGGAAUGUU
This 631-nucleotide unclassified non-coding RNA is filed under the name Bombus terrestris (buff-tailed bumblebee). RNAcentral's name for it is "misc RNA ENSBTSG00005039239.1". The record is from RNAcentral. Lineage: Eukaryota; Metazoa; Arthropoda; Insecta; Hymenoptera; Apidae.